CCCAAGACAACGAUGCCUCGCGGGAAAACAGGAUUGUUUAUAAAUUUACACUGUAAAUAGCUAACAGCCAGUCUUUUAUUACAAAAUUUGCUUAUUAAAACCUUCCGACCCAGAAAAGUUCUCAAAUCAAACGCUAUCGAUCCGAAAUCCUGUAACCAAAAUUACGAAAGUAUCAAACAUGACUUUAGCAUUAUCAUAAUCUGUCACAGAUGAUAAAUGACUCUCAAGCGCUAUUGAGGUCCUUAUACAGACCCGGCAUAAAACCAGCCGAUAUCAACCAAAUCUGGCAACGCCCACACCGGUAGAUACUGAUGCUGAGGCAGCCGGGGAGAUGUUUACGGGCAAAGUAUAAAAGUGGGGGCAGAAGAUUGAUAAGGGACAGAAUAUUAAUCAAACUCAAAGGUAAACACCUAGUAUAAAUCCGAAGGAAUGUCGAUCGUUUCGGAUUUCAGGAUUAGAAAAAUACUGAAUAUCGGACUCGAAUGUUAUCACGCGGCACGUGUUUCCGGCGGCCAGUUUUUGGCGCUUAUCAAGCAAUAUCAAGACUAAUUAACUGAAUAAAAUCUUAUAAAUCGAUCUACCUCAGUCAACAAAAGCUAUUUAAACGGUAUUUUUGCAGUCAAACUCCGAUCAUUUGACUGUGAUGAAUUAAGAACAUUGCAACCCAUUAAACGACACUUCCUACUUUGAGCGGCUCGAAUUCGUCGCGAGUCUGUCAUCAGCCCUGCCGAGGCAUUGUUUGAUAAUUGCCCUAAUGGGUUUGAUUAGUAGCAUUACAACCCAAUUGCUAAUACAUUUUUUGGUACGAUAGUAAAAUCACUAUGCUUCAAGAAGUUUUUUAGCAAACAGCCCGAAGGAUCAAUUUCUGCUUGGAAUUAUUUUUCCAGAAGGACCCAUUUUUAUUACAGCCGAGAUGAGUGGUAAAUGAUUUUAGGAAUCAAAAUGGUCAUACAUUUAAUGACCAGAAAAUGCAAUCAAAAGAUUAUUUGUUGAAGAUCACAGAGCUUGCUUUUCCUGCGACACGAUGCCCGUCCCAUCGGCGCCCGUUAUCCCGGCAUGUAUUCCUCGGGGUGUUACGCCACAGCUAUUCUCGUAUUUUUGAAAAAAGAUAGACGGAUAGUGAAUUUAAUCACAAUAUAUCUACACUUUCCGGAAAUAAGCCUACAACAAGAAGAAGCAGCUGUCUCCCUUGAAGAAAACCAAAGCAAACCACAGAGAAAUCACCCAAAGACUAGAAACAACACUCUAUUACCCAAGUCAACAAAAUAUCUGAAUGCAAGAAACAUGUUUAUAUGUAUUUGUAAUUACAGACUCGUUUCCUUCAAGUUACCGGACACGGUAUUGUUCCAGACUCAAUGUCCAGGUUACGGAAGAACAUACUCGUGCUAGCCUAGGACCGACCACGUCGUCACUUCCGACAACCCUAUGUAAACAGCGCUGACUCGAAUUUAGAAAUGUAAAAAAAAAAAAAGAAAAAAAGAAACAAAGCAUGAAAAUAAACAUGGACAAGAUAAAUAUUUAAAUGAUUGGCACGCUUUCGACUCAACUGAAUUAUUCUUGAAAAAGUUUCAAAAGUCUGUUAGAAGUAUUUUGAAUUAUGAACAAAUUCUUUCAAAUAUUUCAUGGUUGUUUUAUUAAAAUGUGCACGCUUUUAGGAAGAUAAAGAAAAAAAAAUUAAAUAUUUUCACAUUGCAUCUUGUUUUGAUCUGUUCAGAGGUUUUAUGAUUCAACAGAAAAUAUUAUAUUUAGCUGUGAUAGGGCUUAUUUUCAAAUAUGGCCCAUUUCUAACAUGAACUUGUUAUCUGCAAGGGGUUAAGUGGCUUAUUUAAAAAGAACGCUUAUAACAUUUAAAUACUAUUAUGAAAGGUUUCCAGUACUUAACAGUUUUUAAAAGAACGCUUAUAACAUUUAAAUACUAUUAUGAAAGGUUUCCGGUACUUAACAGUUUUUCAACAUCUUAGUGGAUUAUUCUUUUAAACACAGUACAUGUUGUUCAACAACAACGUAUAAGAAGUUGGCUUCUACCUUGGUUGGAAGGUAAGUCUGGGAUUAAACAUGGCGGCAGGUAAUGACACGUACGGGAACUCUUUUAAAUGCAAAAGUCAACUUUUGAAUAACCUCUUCGGCGAUGAACGAACUUUAAAAUUUCGAAACUUUGCAGCGAUUGUAGAAAGGACAGUAACGUACAGUGUUGAUGAACGCCACGUUUUUUUAUGCACUGGACAAAACUUAAGUACGGACUCGGAAUGGAACACUUGCCCAAGGCUGGUUUUGUUAACAUUUAGUUGACACUGUGUUGAAUUUUGUGAAACAAUUAAUUUAUUCAUUGUAAAAAUUGCAACAUAUUCAUGGAUAGAUUGUUUCUUUGAUUAUUAUCAUCAGCGGGCACAGAAGAAAAAAAUAAACGUAUAAAUAAAUAGCAAUAAUGGUACGGAUCUUUAUCAGUCUCGACAAACAACAGGACCAUGCAGUCUCACCCAAGGGGUAGCAGCUUGCCUUCAGACGUACAAGGUCGUUCUAAUACAUCGCAAAGGACAUCGUGUACGAAACAAUUAACAGUGUUCCCGAGGAGCAGACAGCAGAACAACACCAAUUGAUUGAUUGGUAGAUGGUUAGUUGAGCAGAGUUACGUCCCCGACUGUAGUGAACAUUGUAUAUUCCUCGCAGACUGCUGACGUUUCAAAUAUUUGUCAAAAAAAUUUCAGCAAGUAUUCAUCGCAGAUGAUUGAUAUUUUAACACACUUUUUGUUUAGGUAUUCCAUAUUUUAGGAUUCAUUUUUGUACCAAUCAGACGUCAACUUCGUGUUUAAUGACGCCUAUUUAUUCUUAGCCUAAAUUUUCGAACGAAAUUUAACACACUUUAUGUUUAGGUAUGUCUUUUUGAUGGAUCAAUUUUUUAACAAAUUUGAUGUCAACUUCCUGUAAAAUGACAACUUUUUGCUUAUUUCGUAUAUUCACAUCAGAGCUGGGGUAUCACUGGGGGAUCAGAUUGCAGGGAGCACACAUUGUAAAGAUAGUUAGUCUUUUAUUGAAUGUCUAAGAGACAAAACUUCAAUAAAAAUGGAGACCAUGUCACAUCUUUAUUGCUCUGAUUGGUGGAGAAAUCAUCGCUUAAUCUCCUCUUUCAGCUCUAUGAAACAGUUAUCUCCUCGCAUCCGAUUAGGCGUCAGCCUACUCGUUCACCCCAUUGUUCCUCCCAAAGGAACUCAGAUUUUUUUUGGUGUUCGUUUUAUCAAAGAUGUGAAUCAUUAUUAGUCAUGCAUAUUCAUUAUAACCAUGAUUGCAUUAAAUUGCUUAAUUCUCUA
This is a long non-coding RNA of Magallana angulata, 3305 nucleotides long. RefSeq lists it as uncharacterized. Lineage: Eukaryota; Metazoa; Mollusca; Bivalvia; Ostreida; Ostreidae. The transcript is spliced from 3 exons. The record is from RefSeq and is a predicted model, not a curated record.